This 440-nucleotide ribosomal RNA is filed under the name uncultured bacterium. RNAcentral describes it as "partial 16S ribosomal RNA". It matches the Rfam family "Bacterial small subunit ribosomal RNA", at positions 338 to 795 of the family's 1533-position model. The record is from RNAcentral.
CCUACGGGAGGCAGCAGUGGGGAAUAUUGCACAAUGGGGGAAACCCUGAUGCAGCGACGCCGCGUGAGUGAAGAAGUAAUUCGUUAUGUAAAGCUCUAUCAGCAGGGAAGAAAAUGACGGUACCUGAGUCAGAAGCCCCGGCUAACUACGUGCCAGCAGCCGCGGUAAUACGUAGGGGGCAAGCGUUAUCCGGAUUUACUGGGGGUAAAGGGAGCGUAGACGGCAGGGCAAGUCUGGAGUGAAAGGCGGGGGCUCAACCCCCGGACUGCUCUGGAAACUGUACGGCUGGAGUGCAGGAGAGGUAAGUGGAAUUCCUAGUGUAGCGGUGAAAUGCGUAGAUAUUAGGAGGAACACCAGUGGCGAAGGCGGCUUACUGGACUGUAACUGACGUUGAGGCUCGAAAGCGUGGGGAGCAAACAGGAUUAGAUACCCGAGUAGUC